Corylus avellana is the source of this 632-nucleotide non-coding RNA. The record is from RefSeq and is a predicted model, not a curated record. Lineage: Eukaryota; Viridiplantae; Streptophyta; Magnoliopsida; Fagales; Betulaceae.
UGUAAAACAAGAAACUGUCAAUUUUGCUUCCCAUAACGUACACUGUACACAACUCACAAAAUGCCUCUCAACAUAAAUAUUUUAACAACUUAAUUUAUGAUUAUUCUAAAUGGACCCAUCAAAAAACUGUUUUAUUUAUUAUUAUUUUAUUUAUUUUUUAUUUUUUUUGACAUGUCCACCCAAGAGAAGAGGAGAGGAUUCGAACUAGUGACCUCCGCUUCAUUAGGGGCGCUUUGUUAGGAGGCCGAAUUCUAGCACAAAUGGUCAAAGAUGAAAAAAAAGAAAAAAAAAAAGAAAAGAAAAGAGACAUUUUGGGUUGAGAUCGUCACCACCACACCUCCACUUUUGGCUUCUCUUCUUUUUGUUGUUGGAUUAGAUCAGGAAAUGGAGACUGGUUAAGAAGAGGAGCAUGGAGAAAUAGACAAACUACUUUUGCCCUAGCUUUUCAUUUUCUCUGUGUUUCUUUUUCUUUUUUUUUCCUAGUCUUUAAUUUCCACUUUGUUUCAAGUUAUCAAAUACCUUUUAGUAGGUAUAGAGAUUUUGUUGGAUUCGAUCAAUAGUAGCACAAGGCAAAUAUUUAAAUGGAUUCAAAUUUCAAAAGGCAUAUAUGAUAAUUUUUAUUUUUAUUUUUA